AGCGAACGCUGGCGGCAGGCCGAACACAUGCAAGUCGAACGAACUCUUCGGAGUUAGUGGCGGACGGGUGAGUAACACGUGGGAACGUGCCUUUUGGUUCGGAAUAACUCAGGGAAACUUGUGCUAAUACCGAAUGUGCCCUUCGGGGGAAAGAUUUAUCGCCAUUAGAGCGGCCCGCGUCUGAUUAGCUAGUUGGUGAGGUAACGGCUCACCAAGGCGACGAUCAGUAGCUGGUCUGAGAGGAUGACCAGCCACACUGGGACUGAGACACGGCCCAGACUCCUACGGGAGGCAGCAGUGGGGAAUCUUGCGCAAUGGGCGAAAGCCUGACGCAGCCAUGCCGCGUGAAUGAUGAAGGUCUUAGGAUUGUAAAAUUCUUUCACCGGGGACGAUAAUGACGGUACCCGGAGAAGAAGCCCCGGCUAACUUCGUG
This 433-nucleotide ribosomal RNA is filed under the name uncultured bacterium. Its description in RNAcentral is "partial 16S ribosomal RNA". It matches the Rfam family "Bacterial small subunit ribosomal RNA", at positions 29 to 507 of the family's 1533-position model. The record is from RNAcentral.